Molecule: ribosomal RNA, 301 nt
Filed under: uncultured bacterium
Lineage: Bacteria
Description: partial 16S ribosomal RNA
Rfam family: Bacterial small subunit ribosomal RNA
Source: RNAcentral
CAGCAGCCGCGGUAAUACGAAGGGGGCUAGCGUUGCUCGGAAUUACUGGGCGUAAGGGGAGCGUAGGCGGAUGUUUAAGUCAGAGGUGAAAGCCCAGGGCCCAACCUUGGAACUGCCUUUGAUACUGGACAUCUUGAGUGUGGGAGAGGUAAGCGGAACUCCGAGUGUAGAGGUGAAAUUCGUAGAUAUUCGGAAGAACACCAGUGGCGAAGGCGGCCUACUGGCCCAUUACUGACGCUGAGGCUCGAAAGCGUGGGGAGCAAACAGGAUUAGAUACCCCCGUAGUCCCUGUCUCUUAUAC